Callithrix jacchus (white-tufted-ear marmoset) is the source of this 1572-nucleotide non-coding RNA. NCBI's taxonomy places the organism in Eukaryota, Metazoa, Chordata, Mammalia, Primates, Cebidae. The record is from RefSeq and is a predicted model, not a curated record.
AGCGGCCCGGAAGCAGAGGCGCCAGGGGCGGAGCCAACGCCGGGAGGUUUCGCCCCGUCCCCUCGCAGGGGUCCUGGAGCCGCCCUUGUCAAACGUGUUCCCGCCUCCCGUCUUCCGGAAAGGUUCCCUCCUCCUGCCUUCCGGUCCGGCACCCAACUUACGCCUUCUGGUCCCGCUGUGGGCUGCGCCCCACCCAGCCCGCGCCCCGUAUGGCUGCCUCCCGGGCCGGACCUGUGGAGCUGGGCUUCGCCGAGUUGGCGCCGGCGUGGCGACUGCGCAGCGAGCAGUUCCCCAGCAAGGUAGGCGGGCGGCCGGCGUGGCUGGGGGCGUCCGGGCUGCCGGGGCCCGGGGCCCUGGCCUGCGCGCUGUGCGGCCGCCCGCUCUCCUUCCUGCUGCGGGUGUACGCGCCGCUGCCCGGCCGCGCCGACGCCUUCCACCGCGGCAUCUUCCUUUUCUGCUGCCGCGAGCCGCCGUGCUGCGCCGGCCUGCGAGUUUUUAGGAAUCAGCUACCCAGGAAAAAUGAUUUUUAUUCAUAUGAGCCACCUUCUGAGAAUCCUUCCCCAGAAACCGAAUCAGUGUGUCUCCAACUUAAGUCUGGUGCUCAUCUAUGCAGGGUUUGUGGCUGUUUAGGCCCCAAAACGUGCUCCAGAUGCCACAAAGUGUAUUACUGUAGCAAGGAGCAUCAGACCCUAGACUGGAGACUGGGACAUAAGCAGGCUUGUGCACAACCAGAUCAUUUGGACCAUAGAAUUCCAGACCACAACUUCCUUUUUCCAGAAUUCGAAAUUGUAAUAGAAACAGAAGAUGAAAUAUUCCCCGAGGUUGUGGAAAAGAAGAUUACUCAGAGAUUAUAGGGAGCAUGGGUGAAGCACUUGAGGAAGAACUGGAUUCCAUGGCAAAACAUGAAUCCAGGGAAGAUGAAAUUUUUCAGAAGUUUAAAACUCAGAUAGCCCUUGAACCAGAACAGAUUCUCAGAUGUGGCAGAGGUAUUGCCUCCAUCUGCAUUUCUGGUGAAAAUAUUCCUCACGAAAAGGAUAUUCCAGAUUGCCCCUGAGGUGCCAAGAGAAUAUUUGAAUUCCAGGUCAUGCCUCAGCUCCUAAACUACCUGAAGGCUGACAGACUGGGUAAGAGCAUUGACUGGGGCAUCCUGGCUGUCUUCACCUGUGCUGAGAGCUGCAGCUUGGAUACUGGCUAUACAGAAGAAUUUGUGUGGAAGCAGGAUGUAACAAAUACACCGUAAGGGCAUCUUAAGGCCUUCAGAUGUGUUAACAAUCUUUUACACCUUGCAAUUCCAUUUCUGGAACUUUAUCCUAAGGAAAUACUUAUAUCAAAAAUAGAGGUGCAGAGAUGUUGAGACAUUGCUUACGCAGUGUCUACAUAUUAGUGAAACAGAAGUGUCCAGUGACAGAGAAUUAAAUAAAUUUUGGUACAUCCACAGUGGAAGGCUACAGAAUCUUAUUUAUACAUAUGUUGACAACUGAGAUACCAUUAUAGGUGGUAUUUAUGGUAUAACUCUAUUGUAAAAAUAUUUGUACAUGUAUGUGUGCAUAGAAAUAAAUCUGCAAACAUGUA